GAUGAACGCUGGCGGCGUGCCUAAUACAUGCAAGUCGAGCGAACAGACGAGGAGCUUGCUCCUUUGACGUUAGCGGCGGACGGGUGAGUAACACGUGGGUAACCUACCUAUAAGACUGGGAUAACUUCGGGAAACCGGAGCUAAUACCGGAUAAUAUUUCGAACCGCAUGGUUCGAUAGUGAAAGAUGGCUCUGCUAUCACUUAUAGAUGGACCUGCGCCGUAUUAGCUAGUUGGUAAGGUAACGGCUUACCAAGGCAACGAUACGUAGCCGACCUGAGAGGGUGAUCGGCCACACUGGAACUGAGACACGGUCCAGACUCCUACGGGAGGCAGCAGUAGGGAAUCUUCCGCAAUGGGCGAAAGCCUGACGGAGCAACGCCGCGUGAGUGAUGAAGGUCUUCGGAUCGUAAAACUCUGUUAUUAGGGAAGAACAAACGUGUAAGUAACUGUGCACGUCUUGACGGUACCUAAUCAGAAAGCCGCGGCUAACUACGUG
Molecule: ribosomal RNA, 497 nt
Filed under: uncultured bacterium
Lineage: Bacteria
Description: partial 16S ribosomal RNA
Rfam family: Bacterial small subunit ribosomal RNA
Source: RNAcentral